AUCUGUAAUACGCAUGCGCAUUACUCCCACAUGGACAAAAAUCACAAUAUGGCUGCCACCAACUGAGUGUUUUUCAUAUUUCUAGUGCUGUCUUUGUGGUUCCAGGCCUUUUGCUAGUUGUUUGCAUGAGUUGGAUCACUGAUUAGACUAAUAGAACCUUGCACUAGAAUGUAUCUUCUAAUUAUUCUUGUGUGAGGAAAUGGGCUUUUUAGUCUUUCCUGGGUUAUCAUUUGUUCCCUCCACCACAAUUACUCAUUUCAGAACUGCAUUUUACACCUUGCCAGCGAAUUGGAUCACAAGAGGUUGCUCAUGAGUUUUUGCUUACAUGUGUAGUAGGAGACUAGGAGCUCAAAAUGUCACGAAAAGCUAUCAGUAUUGUUCAUGGUGGUGGACGAAACUCUGGAUGCUAUAUUUGGAGAUGUUGAUAACAUUUCCCCAAGACUAGAUAUAUUAUCAACUCUUUAUUUCCCUUGGCACUACUUAAUGUGACACCAGUAUAUUUCGAGAAUGACAUUCCUGUCAAAUUAUUUUUAGAGAUGAAAAUAGGCUACAAAGUUCUUUGUAAACAUUAAUGCAAAACUCAACAGAGUAACCUGAAAUCAAAUGUGUGGCUAAACAAGCAUUUAUUCAUGUUUUAACUGUUUUUUUUUUUACAUUUUUGUUUGAGUUAUGAACAUUAUAAAUUAAAGUA
RNAcentral lists this long non-coding RNA (691 nucleotides) under Amphimedon queenslandica. RNAcentral describes it as "uncharacterized LOC109587419, transcript variant X3". The record is from RNAcentral. Lineage: Eukaryota; Metazoa; Porifera; Demospongiae; Haplosclerida; Niphatidae.